UACGAAGGGGGCAAGCGUUGUUCGGAAUCAUUGGGCGUAAAGCGCGUGUAGGCUGUCUAUUAAGUCGGGUGUGAAAUCCCUGGGCUCAACCGAGGAAGUGCAUUCGAAACUAAUAGACUAGAAGGUGGUAGAGGAUGGUGGAAUUCCAGGUGUAGAGGUGAAAUUCGUAGAUAUCUGGAGGAAUACCGGUGGCGAAGGCGGCCAUCUGGGCCACUCUUGACGCUGAGACGCGAAAGCGUGGGUGGCAAACAGG
This 253-nucleotide ribosomal RNA is filed under the name uncultured bacterium. RNAcentral's name for it is "partial 16S ribosomal RNA". It matches the Rfam family "Bacterial small subunit ribosomal RNA", at positions 524 to 776 of the family's 1533-position model. The record is from RNAcentral.